UACGGGGGGGGCAAGUGUUGUUCGGAAUUACUGGGCGUAAAGGGCUCGUAGGCGGCCAACUAAGUCAGACGUGAAAUCCCUCGGCUUAACCGGGGAACUGCGUCUGAUACUGGGUGGCUUGAAUCCGGGAGAGGGAUGCGGAAUUCCAGGUGUAGCGGUGAAAUGCGUAGAUAUCUGGAGGAACACCGGUGGCGAAGGCGGCAUCCUGGACCGGUAUUGACGCUGAGGAGCGAAAGCCAGGGGAGCAAACGGG
Molecule: ribosomal RNA, 253 nt
Filed under: uncultured bacterium
Lineage: Bacteria
Description: partial 16S ribosomal RNA
Rfam family: Bacterial small subunit ribosomal RNA
Source: RNAcentral